RNAcentral lists this ribosomal RNA (415 nucleotides) under Geobacillus thermodenitrificans. RNAcentral describes it as "bacterial SSU rRNA". It matches the Rfam family "Bacterial small subunit ribosomal RNA", at positions 505 to 916 of the family's 1533-position model. The record is from RNAcentral. Lineage: Bacteria; Bacillati; Bacillota; Bacilli; Caryophanales; Anoxybacillaceae.
GUGCCAGCAGCCGCGGUAAUACGUAGGGGGCGAGCGUUGUCCGGAAUUAUUGGGCGUAAAGCGCGCGCAGGCGGCUCCUUUAAGUCUGAUGUGAAAGCCCACGGCUCAACCGUGGAGGGUCAUUGGAAACUGGGGGACUUGAGUGCAGGAGAGGAGAGCGGAAUUCCACGUGUAGCGGUGAAAUGCGUAGAGAUGUGGAGGAACACCAGUGGCGAAGGCGGCUCUCUGGCCUGUAACUGACGCUGAGGCGCGAAAGCGUGGGGAGCAAACAGGAUUAGAUACCCUGGUAGUCCACGCCGUAAACGAUGAGUGCUAAGUGUUAGAGGGGUCACACCCUUUAGUGCUGCUAGCUAACGCGAUAAUGCACUCCGCCUGGGGAGUACGGCGCAAGACUGAAACUCAAAGGAAUUGACGG